This 344-nucleotide unclassified non-coding RNA is filed under the name soil metagenome. RNAcentral describes it as "partial contains 5.8S ribosomal RNA, internal transcribed spacer 2, and large subunit ribosomal RNA". The stretch from base 1 to 120 matches the Rfam family "5.8S ribosomal RNA", at positions 35 to 154 of the family's 154-position model. The record is from RNAcentral.
GAUGAAGAACGUAGCGAAAUGCGAUAAGUAAUGUGAAUUGCAGAAUUCAGUGAAUCAUCGAAUCUUUGAACGCACAUUGCGCCCCCUGGUAUUCCGGGGGGCAUGCCUGUCCGAGCGUCAUUACUGCCCUCAAGCGCGGCUUGUGUGUUGGGCCCUCGUCCCCCCCGGGGGACGUGCCCGAAAGGCAGUGGCGGCGCCGUGCCCGGACCUCGAGCGUAUGGGGCUUUGUCACCCGCUCUGGAGACCCGGCCGGCGGCCGUCUGACCACCCCAACCUUUUUAACCGGUUGACCUCGGAUCAGGCAGGGAUACCCGCUGAACUUAAGCAUAUCAAUAAGCGGAGGA